AGUGAACGCUGGCGGUAGGCCUAACACAUGCAAGUCGAACGGCAGCACAGUAAGAGCUUGCUCUUACGGGUGGCGAGUGGCGGACGGGUGAGGAAUACAUCGGAAUCUACUUUUUCGUGGGGGAUAACGUAGGGAAACUUACGCUAAUACCGCAUACGACCUACGGGUGAAAGCAGGGGAUCUUCGGACCUUGCGCGAUUGAAUGAGCCGAUGUCGGAUUAGCUAGUUGGCGGGGUAAAGGCCCACCAAGGCGACGAUCCGUAGCUGGUCUGAGAGGAUGAUCAGCCACACUGGAACUGAGACACGGUCCAGACUCCUACGGGAGGCAGCAGUGGGGAAUAUUGGACAAUGGGCACAAGCCUGAUCCAGCCAUACCGCGUGGGUGAAGAAGGCCUUCGGGUUGUAAAGCCCUUUUGUUGGGAAAGAAAAGCAGCGGGUUAAUACCCCGCUGUUCUGACGGUACCCAAAGAAUAAGCACCGGCUAACUUCGUG
This 492-nucleotide ribosomal RNA is filed under the name uncultured bacterium. Its description in RNAcentral is "partial 16S ribosomal RNA". It matches the Rfam family "Bacterial small subunit ribosomal RNA", at positions 29 to 507 of the family's 1533-position model. The record is from RNAcentral.